ACUCACUCCAAAACGUAAAUAGCAUCUAUGGUAAGGAUUCAAACGUCUAGUCCGUGGGCCGUACCUUUGACAUUCCUGAUCUAUGUUUGACUGCGUCGAAAGAAUAAGUAAGAUUAAGUGUAUUAAUUAUUAAAUACACAUUUAAGUGUUGAUACGCGUUAAGUGCACAAGUAUUAAUACGCGAUUAAGAACACGUUUAAGUGUUACGCAAUUGAAUAUAAGAACACGAUUAAAAUUCACUUUCAACAGAACUUUGUUGAGUGAAAUUGUUGGCUAUGUUGAUAACAUCGAAUCUCCACGUUGCGUGGGCUCGCAACAACAAUAUAAGUUCUUCAAAUUUUAUUUAAAUAACGGAAAAGGAAAAAGGGUUCAAAUUGUUGCCUGGAAUGAUGACAUUGAUUUUGUGGAACAUCAUAUAAAAGUA
Camponotus floridanus (Florida carpenter ant) is the source of this 424-nucleotide long non-coding RNA. RefSeq lists it as uncharacterized. The record is from RefSeq and is a predicted model, not a curated record. NCBI's taxonomy places the organism in Eukaryota, Metazoa, Arthropoda, Insecta, Hymenoptera, Formicidae. The transcript has 3 exons.